GAGAUGUAUUAAAGGAGAGAAACUUAGCACUCCCCUUAUAAGGACAGAAGAGAUCCCUGGCCUAACACCUUCUGCAACUUCUGCAUCUAACCACUUAAACAGCAAGUCCCUGAUUGACAGGAGUUUGU
Small nuclear RNA from Arvicanthis niloticus (Nile rat), 128 nucleotides. NCBI's taxonomy places the organism in Eukaryota, Metazoa, Chordata, Mammalia, Rodentia, Muridae. The record is from RefSeq and is a predicted model, not a curated record.